AAGAGAGACCUGUGGAGAUAGGAAUCUUGCCUUUUCCAAUGCUACAAAAGCCAUAGCUUUUUUCAUUUUAUCACAAGCUGAUGAGAUCGAGUAGAGAGCAACGAAACGAAAGAAGUCGACCCGCCUUUAAUCUUGGUGUAUAGCCUAGUGAGAUCCAAGCACGGUAAUUGAACGAGAAGCUCCAACUGGGUGGGGCAAGUUUGAAUGAAUCCUGAAGAGUGAACAACUGGAAUUUUGUAAGCCUUUCCCGAGCGCUCGUCCUUUACACUUAGAAACAGGGUCAUACAGAGACGAGGUGGCAUAUAUAGAAAGGAUCCGCGGGAUCCACUUACAUGAUCGAACGAGAACGAAGAUCCUCAUGCCUCAACUCUCAGCUUCUAUUCACUCGCUUCUAUUCAAUAGUGGGAAAGGCCAGAGGGUUGAGAAUUGCUUUCUCCCCGUCGCUUAGGCUUUCCGGCGACGCCCCGGCACCUCACCUUGACCUACUCCUCUGAGUCGGGGAGGUAAGUGACCUAGUUUCUUUCGGUCCGAUAAGCUAUUUUUUCUCAUAUCCAUUCCUUCCCGCGAGAAUCUUUCAUAGAACGUACGAUACCGGUCGAGUGACUAUUCAAAUUCUUUCUUCGGGUUCACCGUGAUCUGUUGAAUGAAGGUAGCGAUUAGAGCAUCCAAGGAAAUACUUAGUUGACAUGACUAAUACGAAAGCGGAGCUUCCCUUGUUUGUUGUGAUGCUUUGACCAUUCCAAUAGUUACACCUAGCGAUGGAUCGAGGUUUCUGAUCGGCGCGCACCCCAGCCGUACAGCCUGAGAUUCUGGGACCAGACGAGACUCUAUUAGAUUUCCAGGCCCCUCGAAUCGAACUGUAAAGCCAGGAUCAGGGUCGCUUGGUAACUAAGAUCUUUUGGCUGCCCGAUCACUAUACUAGAUUGUUUUACCGAUAUAAUGAAUAGGAACCGUAGUUGGAUAGCAUUCGGGAUGAGACUUGAUUGCUCUGGUUGUGCGUCCCGUUUGACCGCAU
This 1015-nucleotide long non-coding RNA is filed under the name Fragaria vesca (wild strawberry). Its description in RNAcentral is "long non-coding RNA (FVES_LNC004346)". Lineage: Eukaryota; Viridiplantae; Streptophyta; Magnoliopsida; Rosales; Rosaceae. The record is from RNAcentral.